UCCUUGUAUCAAAAUCUAAUGUAUAUUUCUAUUUUGAAGUGCGGCCCUGGACUAUUAUUUAUAGGACUGAGGUGGACCUCUGUACAUGUUGAGAUUGGCAUGCCUGCUUUAGAGGAACAUGUAUUUCUGUAUGACACCUGCAUUAAUUACAGAUCUGCUGGAAAGUAUCGAUGAAAAUUUAAACUUAAAUUUUGUGAUGAAAGAGUUCCCAGCAGACAAACAAUUCAUAAUUUGGUGAAUCAACUUAGAACAAAGGGACUCCUAACAGGCAAGAAAACAUGUGCGUCAAAUCCUUACUGAGGAGAAGUUAGACUUGAACAUACACCUAGAAAAUCACUGAAACAUCUAGCUCGAGAGACUGGAGUGUCAAAGCCUAGCGCAAGAAUGGCAACACAUAAAUAUGCAAAUUAAAGGCUACUGGAUUUCACAGAAUCCACAUCUAUACUAUGAAGCCCUGCUCCAUCCAGUGAAAGCUGGUGUCUGCUGUGCUUAAAGUGCAAAAAGGUGUAACCGUACGCACCCUUCACGGAGGUAUCUUAUCUGUUUAUGCUUAGCGAUUGGGUUUGGCUGUGGAAGUGAGAUGCCCCAGAGGGUUCAUGGUCCUCUGAACUGGCCUUUUGUUACGAGGGACAGAAGGGAGGUUGGUGAGUCCAUUGCAUUCGGGGGGGUGUAGGUAUACCUCCUUUCGUCCGUGCCUGUGGGGGUGGAGGACCUGUGGAUCGAAGCUUCAAGAACGUUCGAGAAGGUGUGCAGACCGGAAGGGGUCCGUGCAUUUGGUCAUGAAGCCCUCCCAGUGGAAAGUUCGAGAUGGUGUAGAACGUGGUUUCUGGAAGCAGCAGCGGGGGUAAGGGUUAGUCAGUGAGUGGAAGCCGAGGAGUCAGUGAGUAGAAGCCAGGUAGUGAGGGUGUUCCUGUGGAACCUGUGCUAGGGGGUUAACCGAUCGAGC
Molecule: long non-coding RNA, 946 nt
Organism: Cryptotermes secundus
Lineage: Eukaryota; Metazoa; Arthropoda; Insecta; Blattodea; Kalotermitidae
Exons: 2
Source: RefSeq, a predicted model, not a curated record